RNAcentral lists this ribosomal RNA (258 nucleotides) under uncultured bacterium. Its description in RNAcentral is "partial 16S ribosomal RNA". It matches the Rfam family "Bacterial small subunit ribosomal RNA", at positions 526 to 779 of the family's 1533-position model. The record is from RNAcentral.
CGUAGGCGCGAGCGUUGUCCGGAAUUAUUGGGCGUAAAGAGCUUGUAGGCGGUUGGUUCGCGUCUGCUGUGAAAGGCCCGGGGCUUAACUCCGGUUUGCAGUGGGUACGGGCUAACUAGAGUGCAGUAGGGGAGACUGGGAAUUCCUGGUGUAGCGGUGGAAUGCACAGAUAUCAGGAGGAACACCGAUGGCGAAGGCAGGUCUCCUGGGCCUGUAACUGACGCUGAGAAGCGAAAGCAUGGGGGAGCGAACAGGAUU